GACGAACGCUGGCGGCGUGCUUAACACAUGCAAGUAGAACGGAAAGGCCCUGCUUUUGUGGGGUGCUCGAGUGGCGAACGGGUGAGUAACACGUGAGUAACCUGCCCUUGACUUUGGGAUAACUUCAGGAAACUGGGGCUAAUACCGGAUAGGAGCUCCUGCUGCAUGGUGGGGGUUGGAAAGUUUCGGCGGUUGGGGAUGGACUCGCGGCUUAUCAGCUUGUUGGUGGGGUAGUGGCUUACCAAGGCUUUGACGGGUAGCCGGCCUGAGAGGGUGACCGGCCACAUUGGGACUGAGAUACGGCCCAGACUCCUACGGGAGGCAGCAGUGGGGAAUAUUGCACAAUGGGCGGAAGCCUGAUGCAGCAACGCCGCGUGCGGGAUGACGGCCUUCGGGUUGUAAACCGCUUUCGCCUGUGACGAAGCGUGAGUGGCGGUAAUGGGUAAAGAAGCACCGGCUAACUACGUG
This 468-nucleotide ribosomal RNA is filed under the name uncultured bacterium. Its description in RNAcentral is "partial 16S ribosomal RNA". It matches the Rfam family "Bacterial small subunit ribosomal RNA", at positions 28 to 507 of the family's 1533-position model. The record is from RNAcentral.